This 460-nucleotide ribosomal RNA is filed under the name uncultured bacterium. RNAcentral describes it as "partial 16S ribosomal RNA". It matches the Rfam family "Bacterial small subunit ribosomal RNA", at positions 338 to 795 of the family's 1533-position model. The record is from RNAcentral.
CCUACGGGAGGCUGCAGUGAGGAAUAUUGGUCAAUGGCCGCGAGCCUGAACCAGCCAAGUCGCGUGAGGGAGGACGGCCCUACGGGUUGUAAACCUCUUUUGCCGGGGAGCAACGGGCGUCACGUGUCGCGCCACUGGGAUUCCCCGGAGAAAAAGCUUCGGCUACCUCCGUGCCAGCAGCCGCGUUAAUACGGGGGAUGCGAGCGUUAUCCGGAUUUAUUGGGUUGAAGGGUUGCGUAGGCGGAGCGGUAAGUCAGUGGUAAAAUUGAGGGGCUAAACCCCUUCCCGCCAUUGAAACUGGGGUUCUUGAGUGGGAGAGAAGUAUGCGGAAUGCGUGGUGUAGCGGUGAAAUGCAUAGAUAUCACGCAGAACCCCGAUUGCGAAGGCAGCGUGCCGGCUUCCGACUGACGCUGAUGCACGAAAGCGUGGGGAUCGAACAGGAUUAGAUACCCGAGUAGUC